AUCCAUAUAUACAUACAACUAAAAGUCUAAACCAUGCUUCUUACCAAAAAAAAGAAAGGUCUAAAUCAUGCUCCAAAACCCCAUAUCUUCCAAAUAAAACCUGCUAAUUCCCCAUCCUAUAAACCAAGGUGCAGCAGCCUAGCAGGAGGAUGUUGACCGGUCAAAAUCGCUGGGACCGGAUACUUCCUCCUGUGGGCCCUG
RNAcentral lists this long non-coding RNA (201 nucleotides) under Elaeis guineensis (African oil palm). RNAcentral describes it as "long non-coding RNA (EGUI_LNC028924)". The record is from RNAcentral. Lineage: Eukaryota; Viridiplantae; Streptophyta; Magnoliopsida; Arecales; Arecaceae.